Molecule: ribosomal RNA, 567 nt
Filed under: Triticum aestivum (bread wheat)
Lineage: Eukaryota; Viridiplantae; Streptophyta; Magnoliopsida; Poales; Poaceae
Description: partial small subunit ribosomal RNA
Source: RNAcentral
AUGCCACACCUUCCCAACAUCAGGACACUUUCCCUGACGAUCGUCACGAUUCUUCGAUUUCUCCGCUCUCCAAUUGGUGAAAUUGUCUUUUGCUUCCUUAGGCGAUGCCCGAACCUAACUCUGCUUCACAUCGAUCUAUCGACGCUGCACCAGUUUACAAGGCAGGAUCCGCAUUAUCUUGUGUUUCCGGAUGAUGAUGCUGAAACUAAACCUGCAAAGCCAUGUCAAGACCGUGAAUACGAUCCGCCUAAAGCACACAAAUACCAAUUACAACUAGCUUCUCUUCGAAAGAUAAGAAUCAGUGGCUUUGCCGGAACGGAUGCUGAGAUGGAGCUCGCCGAUCUUCUUUUCGGAAUUGGAGCCGAGCGGUCGGCGCUCGAGAGGAUAUUUAUAUCAUCAUUUGCACAGCUGAAGGAUCGCAUUGGCAGGAUCGCCCAGAAGAUGAGGGCUCGGUUCCCUCUUGCAGGAGGGCGCUGGGAAACCUCCCCCUUGGAAGAGAUCACGUGGACGAAGAACAAUGACGGACUGGAAAGAUCAAAUGCUCUUAGAUCAACAAUCAUAACGUAG